Molecule: ribosomal RNA, 16 nt
Filed under: Colletotrichum gloeosporioides
Lineage: Eukaryota; Fungi; Ascomycota; Sordariomycetes; Glomerellales; Glomerellaceae
Description: partial 18S ribosomal RNA
Source: RNAcentral
GGCCUCCCGCCUCCGG